UGACGUCACUGGUUAGCGGGUCGUCUGUUGAUCCUGAUCAGGGUCCGCGUGAGCUGAACCCGAUUUCAGUACUGUACCGGGUCCAGGGAAGACCUCUAAACCGCCGACUGAACCGAAAAAACGGAAAAUGAAACUUUAACGGAGAUUUUUCACGUUUGUUUUCUGCGGCUUUUAUUUUGUGGGCGGAGAGGAUCAGCAGGAAGCGACUUCACAUAACGGGUUUCUUUCCAACAUGGAGACGACAGCAGAUCUCAGUCAGCAGUGCAGCAGCUGCGACGCCUCCUCCGCCAGAUGUUGGUGCGUGGACUGUAACGAAGCUCUGUGUGACGUCUGCGUGUCGGCUCAUCGCAGAGUCACGGUCACCAGG
Molecule: non-coding RNA, 367 nt
Organism: Plectropomus leopardus (leopard coralgrouper)
Lineage: Eukaryota; Metazoa; Chordata; Actinopteri; Perciformes; Serranidae
Source: RefSeq, a predicted model, not a curated record